RNAcentral lists this unclassified non-coding RNA (377 nucleotides) under uncultured bacterium. RNAcentral's name for it is "contains 16S-23S intergenic spacer region". The record is from RNAcentral.
UCCGGUUUGGCACCGGCAGUCUCCCAUGAGUCCCCGGCUUUACCCGCUGGCAACAUGGGACAGGGGUUGCGCUCGUUGCGCCACUUAAGGCAACACCUCACGGCACGAGCUGACGACGACCAUGCAGCACCUGUGCGGGCUCCCGAAGGAGGACCGUAUUUCUACGGCUUCACCCCGCAUGUCAAGCCCUGGUAAGGUUCUUCGCGUCGCGUCGAAUUAAACCACAUGCUCCACCGCUUGUGCGGGCCCCCGUCAAUUCCUUUGAGUUUUAACCUUGCGGCCGUAGUCCCCAGGCGGAGCACUUAAUGCGUUAGCGUCGGCACCGCAGGGGUCAAUACCCGCGACACCGAGCACCCAUCGUUUACAGCGUGGACUAC